This 253-nucleotide ribosomal RNA is filed under the name uncultured bacterium. Its description in RNAcentral is "partial 16S ribosomal RNA". It matches the Rfam family "Bacterial small subunit ribosomal RNA", at positions 524 to 776 of the family's 1533-position model. The record is from RNAcentral.
GACAGAGGGUGCAAACGUUGUUCGGAAUUACUGGGCGUAAAGCGUGUGUAGGCGGCUUUGCAAGUCGGAUGUGAAAGCCCCGGGCUCAACCCGGGAAGUGCACUCGAUACUGCAGAGCUUGAGUAUCGGAGAGGUUGGUGGAAUUCUCGGUGUAGAGGUGAAAUUCGUAGAUAUUCGCAGGAACAUCGGUGGCGAAGGCGGCUACCUGGCUUAGAACUGACGCUGAGGCGCGAAAGCGUGGGGAGCAAACAGG